Molecule: ribosomal RNA, 465 nt
Filed under: Vreelandella stevensii
Lineage: Bacteria; Pseudomonadati; Pseudomonadota; Gammaproteobacteria; Oceanospirillales; Halomonadaceae
Description: partial 16S ribosomal RNA
Rfam family: Bacterial small subunit ribosomal RNA
Source: RNAcentral
CCUACGGGGGGCAGCAGUGGGGAAUAUUGGACAAUGGGGGGAACCCUGAUCCAGCCAUGCCGCGUGUGUGAAGAAGGCCCUCGGGUUGUAAAGCACUUUCAGUGAGGAAGAACGCCUGGUGGUUAAUACCCAUCAGGAAAGACAUCACUCACAGAAGAAGCACCGGCUAACUCCGUGCCAGCAGCCGCGGUAAUACGGAGGGUGCGAGCGUUAAUCGGAAUUACUGGGCGUAAAGCGCGCGUAGGUGGCUUGAUAAGCCGGUUGUGAAAGCCCCGGGCUCAACCUGGGAACGGCAUCCGGAACUGUCAAGCUAGAGUGCAGGAGAGGAAGGUAGAAUUCCCGGUGUAGCGGUGAAAUGCGUAGAGAUCGGGAGGAAUACCAGUGGCGAAGGCGGCCUUCUGGACUGAAACUGACACUGAGGUGCGAAAGCGUGGGUAGCAAACAGGAUUAGAUACCCCAGUAGUC